Molecule: non-coding RNA, 280 nt
Organism: Theobroma cacao (cacao)
Lineage: Eukaryota; Viridiplantae; Streptophyta; Magnoliopsida; Malvales; Malvaceae
Source: RefSeq, a predicted model, not a curated record
CUCUUUAAAUCCUUUGUUGAGCAUGGACCCUUUUUUUCAGGUUUUUUGAGUUAAAGGUGAUUGGAUCCUAGGACGAGGUGCUCCUCCCAAUACAUUGCUCAAUAGGUUUAAUGUGCCACUAAGUGAUAUCAAUCGUGCCCAGAGUCACUCCGCUGACGGUCAAGUUCUAAUUAUGUGUAUAUGAAUACUUGUUGUGAAAGGUUGAGAUUUACUUGUCAAAUUAUAUGUAUGUAUAUAAUGGUUGAUGAUGCCAUUAUGAAUACAUGACUGGGUUUUAUGA